Molecule: ribosomal RNA, 468 nt
Filed under: uncultured bacterium
Lineage: Bacteria
Description: partial 16S ribosomal RNA
Rfam family: Bacterial small subunit ribosomal RNA
Source: RNAcentral
GACGAACGCUGGCGGCGUGCUUAACACAUGUAAGUCGAACGGAAAGGCCCUGCUUUUGUGGGGUGCUCGAGUGGCGAACGGGUGAGUAACACGUGAGUAACCUGCCCUUGACUUUGGGAUAACUUCAGGAAACUGGGGCUAAUACCGGAUAGGAGCUCCUGCUGCAUGGUGGGGGUUGGAAAGUUUCGGCGGUUGGGGAUGGACUCGCGGCUUAUCAGCUUGUUGGUGGGGUAGAGGCUUACCAAGGCUUUGACGGGUAGCCGGCCUGAGAGGGUGACCGGCCACAUUGGGACUGAGAUACGGCCCAGACUCCUACGGGAGGCAGCAGUGGGGAAUAUUGCACAAUGGGCGGAAGCCUGAUGCAGCAACGCCGCGUGCGGGAUGACGGCCUUCAGGUUGUAAACCGCUUUCGCCUGUGACGAAGCGUGAGUGACGGUAAUGGGUAAAGAAGCACCGGCUAACUACGUG